Molecule: ribosomal RNA, 483 nt
Filed under: uncultured bacterium
Lineage: Bacteria
Description: partial 16S ribosomal RNA
Rfam family: Bacterial small subunit ribosomal RNA
Source: RNAcentral
GACGAACGCUGGCGGCGUGCUUAACACAUGCAAGUCGAACGCUGAAGCUCAGCUUUUGUUGGGUGGAUGAGUGGCGAACGGGUGAGUAACACGUGAGUAACCUGCCCCCUUCUUUGGGAUAACGCCCGGAAACGGGUGCUAAUACUGGAUAUUCACUGGUCUUCGCAUGGGGGUUGGUGGAAAGGGUUUUUCUGGUGGGGGAUGGGCUCGCGGCCUAUCAGCUUGUUGGUGGGGUGAUGGCCUACCAAGGCUUUGACGGGUAGCCGGCCUGAGAGGGUGACCGGUCACAUUGGGACUGAGAUACGGCCCAGACUCCUACGGGAGGCAGCAGUGGGGAAGAUUGCACAAUGGGCGCAAGCCUGAUGCAGCGACGCCGCGUGAGGGAUGGAGGCCUUCGGGUUGUGAAACUCUUUCGCUCAUGGUCAAGCCGCAACAAUGGUUGUGGUGAGGGUAGUGGGUAAAGAAGCGCCGGCUAACUACGUG